GAUGAACGCUGGCGGCGUGCCUAAUACAUGCAAGUCGAGCGAACGGACGAGAAGCUUGCUUCUCUGAUGUUGGCGGCGGACGGGUGAGUAACACGUGGAUAACCUACCUAUAAGACUGGGAUAACUUCGGGAAACCGGAGCUAAUACCGGAUAAUAUUUUGAACCGCAUGGUUCAAAAGUGAAAGACGGUCCUGCUGUCACUUAUAGAUGGAUCCGCGCUGCAUUAGCUAGUUGGUAAGGUAACGGCUUACCAAGGCAACGAUGCAUAGCCGACCUGAGAGGGUGAUCGGCCACACUGGAACUGAGACACGGUCCAGACUCCUACGGGAGGCAGCAGUAGGGAAUCUUCCGCAAUGGGCGAAAGCCUGACGGAGCAACGCCGCGUGAGUGAUGAAGGUCUUCGGAUCGUAAAACUCUGUUAUUAGGGAAGAACAUAUGUGUAAGUAACUAUGCACGUCUUGACGGUACCUAAUCAGAAAGCCACGGCUAACUACGUG
This 497-nucleotide ribosomal RNA is filed under the name uncultured bacterium. Its description in RNAcentral is "partial 16S ribosomal RNA". It matches the Rfam family "Bacterial small subunit ribosomal RNA", at positions 28 to 507 of the family's 1533-position model. The record is from RNAcentral.